Long non-coding RNA from Columba livia (rock pigeon), 2239 nucleotides. RefSeq lists it as uncharacterized. The record is from RefSeq and is a predicted model, not a curated record. The transcript has 4 exons. Lineage: Eukaryota; Metazoa; Chordata; Aves; Columbiformes; Columbidae.
CAACUGACUUUCUGUCUUUGUGUCAGAGAUCAACUAAUUAACUUUUUUCUCUUUUCAGUGUCAUCUUCCAAAUUCCAUUUUGACUUUAUCUGUGUUGAAGAUUGUUAUAUACUAACCAGCAGGUAGAUUCACUGAGCUCUGGAGGCUGCUUCAGUAGGCUGCAAUGGCUUCAGAGCUAUCUGUUCUGCUAACUGGGCGUCAGGGACUAAUUCCUGCCUGAAAAGGCAUGAUAGCAAGCCAGGAGAGGACAGAACAAACAGCCUUUUACUGUCUCAUGACUCUAGGUUGCUUAAUGCUUGGCUUUCAUCUCUGUGUGUCUUCAUGGAAGUCAUUAGGUCCUACUUAGAGGCUAUAAAUGAAACACAUGUUGAAGGUUACUUGAUUCACAUCCUGAAAACUUUGUCCCCACACAGUGUUAUAACACCCUUGUUUGUCAUAGUGAAAUCUGCGGAGAAGGAUUAAGGAGUGGUAGAUGACCUUGAAAACUGAGGUAACGGAAAUUGCAAAGAAAUGCAAAGUGUAAAAUAGCGACUAGUAACAAUAUAUGCUGUACUUUUAGGUGAAAACUAAAGGAGGGGGGGGUAGGCAAAUUGAGCUCUGAAGAGGUAUCAUUGACCCACCCGUGUGCUAUGUAAAGAACGCCAAUGUAACCCUAAAGUGUAUCGAGUAAAGUAUUUUCAGUGGUUCACAUGGAAAGUUUCAUUGACCCUUGAGUAUGACGUCAUUUCAAACACGAACUACAGUUCUGGUCCCUCUCUUACAGGAAAGAUGAGUUCAUAUUCAAACUGACAACCUAGUGUCAACAAGAUAGUCUAGGGGAGUGGAGCAACUUUUCUGUCACUGGUGACUUAAAAGAGAUUGGUUUGUUCAGCUUAGCAAAACAAAGCUUGAGAGAGGAUCUUGUUUCCAUUUGUAAACAAAAUCGAGUGUAAAAAUAGGCAGCAAAAGAAAAAAGAACAACUGUUUAUGUGAAAUAACAUUAGUGAUAAAGGAAUAUUUUGUAUAAAGUGACCAUAAAUAAAUGUGGAUUGGAAAUUAAAAUAUUUUGCUCAACAGAACAGUCCUUAAGAAAAGCUUCCCAACAUGAAUUGGGAGGUAUAAAAAACUGAAAUCAGUUUUUAGGUCGAUGUGGUUGGCUUGUGAAAGGGAUUUUACGAUGUAGUUACCUAUAGCAGCAAGGGACUUGUUCCUGUGCCCUUGCAUUAAUUUUCCACUAUGGUGGUUUUUCACUUUCCCCCUCAAGCAUCUGGGACUAGCUACUGUCAGAGAAAGACUAAUGAGCUAAAGGGACCACAGGUGCAGUCCAAAAUAGCAUUGGGUAGUCCUGUUACUUACUUCAAAUGUUUUAACACAGUGACUGUAUAGAGUUGAGGGGGAUUAACAGCUGUUAGGGGUGAUGAAUGCCCUGAACUGCUCCUAAUUCUGAAUAGGGAAAGCUAAAGAACUCCCAGGCUGGAAAAGAAUGAGGGUCACCAGUGCAUUGAUGUUCUUCCACUUUGAAGGGAUUAAAAAAGAAAAAGAAAAGAAAAAAAAAAAGCUGUAACAGCAUUCAAAUGAAUAUGCAAAUGAUAAGGUGCAUUUAUAGUCUUUUCAGUGCUAUUGUAUCAGAGAUGAGUGUGUCCCAGUGGUUUCAAAGCAAAGGCAGCACCCAACACACUGAAGAUGGAAGCUCAAGGACAGAUGGAAUCGGUGCGAUGACAUCUGAAGUUCCAUCUCAGCUACUGUGUACACACUCAUAAAUGCUUCAGAAGAACCAAGCUGUACACUUGCUGUACUUUGAAGAGAAAUGUGAAGAAAUCCAGAGGGGAAAAAACCCACCCAAACUGAGAAGCCUUGCGAUAGUUAAAAGGAGCCUGUUUAAGAGCAGAACACUGUGGACCUUUCACCACACCCAUCAUCCACACAGGAAGAGGAAACCAUGAUGUACAACUGCUGCCCAAGAAAUCAAAAGGCACGGCUGAAGUGAACUGUCACUGAGCUUCUGCUAGGGAUCGUGCACUGUGUGUCCUUUACUCUGAGCCAGGCACCCAUCUGAAAAAGAUGACUUGGAAUUUCUGCAGAAGAAAAGAAAAAGCUUUAGCAGGUAAAAAUUGCAAGUUUCACUUUUUACAAGCUUAUCUUCCUUUACUAAAAAUACCUCUGAGGUUCUUAUUUUCUGUAGUGCAUAGGGCCUAUACUAAGUUUUAUCAGCAUGACUGCUGUAUCAUGCUGCACACAUUUGUUUUAGGCUUGUGCCUUU